Molecule: long non-coding RNA, 1785 nt
Organism: Mesocricetus auratus (golden hamster)
Lineage: Eukaryota; Metazoa; Chordata; Mammalia; Rodentia; Cricetidae
Exons: 2
Source: RefSeq, a predicted model, not a curated record
ACAAAGAAGGCGGCGCAGGGGUGGAGGGGGCCCGAGCCUCCUGGCCAGGGCGCGUCCUGGGGUCCAGGCUGGACGCCCCAUGAGCCUUUGUCUGCGCCGGGGCAGCAGCACCCGCCAACCCUCCCGCCCCUCCGGCAACCGGGACCCACCAGCCACACCGGAAAGGCCAGUCCCUGGGUCAGGGGCCCGCGCGCGUGGAUGCCAGUCCCCGGGCUCCCGUGGGGAUCCGCCCCGGCCAUCAAGGGGUUCAGUCUGUGCGGUGCCAACUCCCUAACUCAGCUGCUCAUGACUUUACCCUCUGUACUUCAUCAGAGUCCACGACAGCCUUCUGACUUGGUGACCUCUGCUCCCCCGACAGAGGGCCCAGAUGUAACAGCUGAAGUUGUUUCUCAGGCAGAGGUUCCACUCAAAGCCUCCUGCCCUUGUACGACACGCAAAGCCAACAUAUGUCACAGAAAAGAAAGGGCCGUGGGUCCUCACCCACGCUGGACAGGAGAGAGGAAACCAGUCUUGUGCAGGAAGAGCGCAGGGGGGAGGGGUGAAGAUCAGAUGAGCAGGAAAAGGAGGCUCCAGCAGGGCAACGGAGCCCAGAGGGAGUUGGCAAGGCUUGAGAGCUUGGCGAGAAGGUAAAAAUGGGGGAAAGAGCUUUUACCACAAAGGGAGAGACGGCACGGGUACGGAAGCCACCAAAGAGAGUAGGCCCGUGAAGAAAUGAAGAGACUGUUCCCACCUUUCCUUGGCUGAUGAGGAAACUUCUGCCAGGCUGUGGAAUGACUUCUCUCAUGUCACAGAACAAGUUCAGUAGCAAAGCCCGGGGUGGAACCCCACGUGUGCUGUGUGCGUCCUAACCACCCAGUGACAGUGCUGAGUGGCAGCUUUAGGAGCCGAGACUGUGUCCUGUAGUCAGUGAGCCAACAAGAGAACCGGUGAUUUUUUUCCUGGGCCUCGACACGCUUAGUACAGACAUGGAGAAGAAGCCGUGAACAGAAAUGGAGGGUAAGAGGCUUUAGAGGCUGCUCUACAUAUCCUCAUUCCCCUACUGGGUUCCAGCCUAGGAGGGGGCAAACCUGACCAGUUAUAAGACCCAGCUCUAGAAUACAAACAAGCCUGAGUGUCAUCCCGGCCCAGCCUCUUGGUGCCCUAAUGACCUUGGACAAGUCACCUAAUGUCUGUCUCUUUUCUUAAUACAUAAUUAACUUUUAUUUAGUGUGCAUUGGUGUUUUGCCUGCAGGUGUGUCUGUGUGAGGGUGUCAGACGCCCUGGUACUGGAGUGACUGACAGUUGUGAGCUGCCUGUGGGUGCUGGGAAUUGAACCAGGUCGGUGCUCUUAAUGGCCAUCACCUCGGUGUCCUCCUAAGCAAAGGAUCCAGAUUAGCACCAAGUCAUGCAACAGAGCUGUAACUGUCAACCUGACAGAGCCGAGAGUCACCUGAGUGUCUCAGGGGAGGGUUGGCCAGAUCAGACUGGCCUGUGGGCAUGUCUGUGGGGACUGUCUUCGAUGUUGAUGUGAGAGGGAUCUUGGCCCACUGUGGGCGGCACCAUUCCCUGGGCAAGUAGUCCCCGUCUGUGUUGUGAAGUUAGCUAAGCAUGGCCUGUGGGCCAGCUAGCAGGCAGCCUCCUCCAUGGUCUCUGCUGUUCUUCUACGACUGUGAAGUGAGUUCCUUGGCAGUGGUGAAUGCUGUUCGGAACAGCAAGUGGCCUGACUUCAGGUUCCUGCUUGAGUUCCUGCCCUGAUGUCCCUCACGAGCUGUUGUCUGUAAGAUGGAAUAAACCUUUUCUCCUCUG